Molecule: ribosomal RNA, 228 nt
Filed under: Clostridioides difficile
Lineage: Bacteria; Bacillati; Bacillota; Clostridia; Peptostreptococcales; Peptostreptococcaceae
Description: partial 16S ribosomal RNA
Rfam family: Bacterial small subunit ribosomal RNA
Source: RNAcentral
CCUACAUGAAGCUGGAGUUACUAGUAAUCGCAGAUCAGAAUGCUGCGGUGAAUGCGUUCCCGGGUCUUGUACACACCGCCCGUCACACCACGGGAGUUGGAGACGCCCGAAGCCGAUUAUCUAACCUGUUGGAAGAAGUCGUCGAAGGUGGAAUCAAUAACUGGGGUGAAGUCGUAACAAGGUAGCCGUAUCGGAAGGUGAGGCUGGAUCACCUCCUUUCUAAGGAGA